RNAcentral lists this long non-coding RNA (721 nucleotides) under Nicotiana benthamiana. RNAcentral describes it as "long non-coding RNA (NBEN_LNC020699)". Lineage: Eukaryota; Viridiplantae; Streptophyta; Magnoliopsida; Solanales; Solanaceae. The record is from RNAcentral.
CUUCAGAAAGUUCACACCAAAAAAAGAAACUAUCAGAACCAAGAGCUAUUUAUGUGACAAGUAAAGAAUUCAGGAUAAAAUUAUGAAGUAGUGGGAACGUUUACCUCCCAAAAGUUCAUCCAGUGCCUGGCUUCCAGUUGUGAUACGAACUACCUGCUUCCUCUGUAGCAAACAUGUUGUAUUCAGAUAUCUUUUUAUAUAAGGCACAAAUAGGAUUUUACACUUACUUAAAUAUGUCACUCAAGCAGAAAGGAUCAAGAGUGGAUAGCAAAGAAAAGAAACACCGUGAUUUUACUCAACGGGAGCUGUUAGCACUAAACUAUAGAAUAGCAAACAUGUUGUGUUCAGAUAUCUUUUUAUGUAAGGCACAAACAUGAUUUUACACUUCCUAAAAUAUGUCACUCAAGCAGAAAGGAUCAAGAGUGGAUGGCAAAGAAAAGAAACACCGUGAUUUUACUCAACACGAGCUGUUAGCACUAAAUUGUAGAGUGGGUUUUGUGAAGCUAUUAACUUUUAUCAUAACCUGUCAAGCAAACUCCAGUAAGUUAAGACAUAAAACGAAAAAAAGAAACAAAAAACUCAUACUUUGAGCAGAGCAUCACUUCCAGUAAUAUAGCCAAAAUUCUGCAAAGAUUACAAAAAUAGUGAAGGCAAUAGUAGCAGAAACAUAUGAUGAUAUCAUCACUUGGAAUACGACAAUCAGUCUGUUAGAAUAUAUAUC